This 517-nucleotide ribosomal RNA is filed under the name uncultured bacterium. Its description in RNAcentral is "bacterial SSU rRNA". It matches the Rfam family "Bacterial small subunit ribosomal RNA", at positions 791 to 1298 of the family's 1533-position model. The record is from RNAcentral.
UAGUCCACGCCGUAAACGAUGAUAACUAGCUGUCCGAACCCACAGGGUUUGGGUGGCGCAGCUAACGCAUUAAGUUAUCCGCCUGGGGAGUACGGUCGCAAGAUUAAAACUCAAAGGAAUUGACGGGGGCCUGCACAAGCGGUGGAGCAUGUGGUUUAAUUCGACGCAACGCGCAGAACCUUACCAGCUUUUGACAUCCUGGUCGCGGAUUUGGGAGACCAUUUCCUUCAGUUCGGCUGGACCAGUGACAGGUGCUGCACGGCUGUCGUCAGCUCGUGUCGCGAGAUGUUGGGUUAAGUCCCGCAACGAGCGCAACCCUCAUCCUUAGUUGCCAGCAUUUAGUUGGGCACUCUAAGGAAAACUGCCGGUGAUAAGCCGGAGGAAGGUGGGGGAUGACGUCAAGUCAUCAUGGCCCUUACGGGGUAGGGGCUACACACGUGCUACAAUGGUCGGUACAGAGGGUUGCGAAGCCGCGAGGGUGGGAGCUAAUCUCAUAAAAACCGAUCGUAGUCCGGGA